Non-coding RNA from Gasterosteus aculeatus aculeatus (three-spined stickleback), 5471 nucleotides. Lineage: Eukaryota; Metazoa; Chordata; Actinopteri; Perciformes; Gasterosteidae. The record is from RefSeq and is a predicted model, not a curated record.
GCGUACUGCCCCUUUAAGUCCAUUGGCAUGAGUUCACGUGGGAUUUGGAGCUGCAGAGCGGGACCUAGUGGCUACUAACACGACACAGUGUUAGCGGUUAGCAUCGGAACAGCGUUAGGGAAAUACCUGUUCAGCGGGUCAGCGUAAGUGUUCUCACAUUAAUAAACCUGACUCACCAUGUAAAUUGUGAUUGAUGGACUGUUACUGAGUGUAUGUUCUUGGGUUGUGCACCUCUGCUUCGUUUAGAGGGGAGUAACAAGCUGCUGUGGGUUGAGGUCGCACGUGCAUGGAGCCGUGCGCGCCGGCGCUUGAGUGAGUUUAUUGUUUUCGGGACUUUUUGGAGGAACGACAAUGGUGUGGGAUUUGAACAGCAUGAGACCGAUGUGCAUGUUCUUUUGUUUCUGUUUAACAGGAAGGGGUCACUACUGUUGUUUUUUAUGUAACUGUUAGCUUCAUGUAAUUUCUAGCUUAAGGUAAUUGUAGCUCUAUUCCAUGACAUCCUGUUAGUUAGUGAAGCGAAGCAAUUGGUUAUUUGUACACUGUUCCAAGUGCCUCCUUAAUUUGACACAUUAAGGCUGUGCUCCAGGAGUGCAGUCGGGGGAAAUAAAGAACCCACAUUAAAGAGAAAUAAAUUUAUCUUAGUGUCCUGUCAUCAUUUUAAUCAGGCUACACUAAUUUUGGUGUCAGAAGUGGGAUCGGACAGGGACAGGGAUAAUACAUAUAAAAACAACAGUAGUGGCUAAGGAGCCUCCAGAUCCAGGAUCAGAGUGGGUGACUACUGGUGAGGGGUCCCAGAAGCAGCAGGGUGACCAGUGCUCCUCGACGAGGGAGACUGCAUCGUUGCUGUAGACUGCGGGAAGAGAGGACCAUCGGGAUUCACCUUUUUGGGAGGCUGCUGGAGUGAGAAACGUCACAACUGUCAUCUUGCUGUAGUGAGGACACAGAAGGGGACACGUUGAAAUGUCGGACGAGGAAGAGAGGGCAGCUGCUCCAACGGCCGGGUCCAGCCGCCAUGAGGACAAUCUGGCUGCCUCCAUGGGAGACCAGGGAGGUAACCUUGUGGUACAACUGCAGGCACAGAUUUUGGAACUGGGAAAAAAACAUGAUGCUGUAAUGUCAAGUAUUGCCAACCUUGGUGAUGCCCAACCGAGGUCCAUUGUUUACAUUCCGAGAGAAAAACAAAUUGUGCCUUUUAGUGGUGAACCAGGGAAAGACGUUCACACUGUUGAUGAGUUCAUAGAGGAGGUAGAGCGUACGAUGAGAGCAAGGGGCCUACAGGGGGAGGAGCAGGUGGAUUUCAUUUUCUCGCAGUUAAAGGGGUCAGCUCUGGAGGAGGUUAAGUUACGUGUGGGUGGACAGGUUAAGCAAUCCAGUGAUCUGUUUUCAUACCUGAGGGAGGCAUUCAGAGAGAGACGUACUACACCACAACUCUUGCAUGCUUUCUAUGCGCGCAGGCAGUUAGACGGGGAAGACUAGCGGGAUUUUUCACACGCGCUCUCACAUCUGCUUAAUUCUGCUCUUCAACAGUCCCCCAACGCUGUAGUUGAUGUACAGUUAGCACUUAGAGACCAGUUAAUUGAAGGGGUACGUGACUCCACCCUUCGACGUGAGUUGCGUCGGCUUAUUAGGGAGAAGCCUGGCCUAAGCCUGUUUGAUGUGCGAGAAGAGGCAAUGAUGUGGACACUUGAAGACCGGCCUCACAGUACUAAUGUGGUGAGGAGCCGAAAUCUUGGGGCCGGCGACCCAGACGAGGUUGCAGCAGGGACAGAUAUGGCCGAUAAGGCACAGACGGACCUAACCACCCCUUUGCAGGACGUAGUUAAAAUAAUUGCGCAGCAGGGUAAAGCAAUAAGUGAGCUAACCAAUGCAGUCCGUGAUCUCACAAUCCACCAUGCUAGUUCAGAGAGGGGAACCAAGGAGGUUUCGAUUUAAAAUCAAGCCAAAGUAUAUAGAUGAUGGACAGCCGAUUUGUCUGCGAUGUGAGGGGGUUAGGCACAUGGCGAGACACUGCAAUCGACAACGUGACGCAGGAGGAUCUUCUAACCUUCACCCCAAUCCUGCGGUUCAGGGAAACAGGAACCCUCCAUUGCUAUGAGCUGCGCAAUGCGAGGCAAGUCGAAAGGCUCACAGGAUAUCCUCACCAAAGAACGGUUUCUACAACGUGCUGUAGGCAAGUGCCCGGAGGUAGACAUCCAGAUUGGUGGUGUUCCGCUUAGGUGCCUACUGGACACAGGUAGCAAUGUAAGCACUUUGACAGAAAACUUCUUCAGAGAUCACCUGCAUGGGGAAGAUGAAGACAUGCAUUGUACAGCUAAAUGGCUUAAGAUCACAGCAGCCAAUCAGUUACCUCUUCCCUAUUUAGGCUAUGUUGAGUUAGAUGUACAGGUGAUGGGGAUUCAACAUUCCAGAGUGUGGGUUCUUAAUAAUGGGAAACGAUAAUACCAAGCGAGCAGAUCCAUCUCCACCUGGCAUUAUUGGGAUGAAUAUCGCAAAAAGGUGUCGACAGAUGGUAAUGUCAGAGUUUGACACAGCUCUACAGGGGGUGCUGGAUUCUGAUUGGAGAGACGCAUUCCAUCAAAUGCAGGGGGCAGAACUUGCCAGAAAAGUGUCUACAGCCCACCUGGUAGGAAAACAGAAAGUGCACAUACCUGCUUCAGCUGUUGCCACGGUUUAUGCCAGGGGGCUCAGGAAGUCGCUGCGUGGGGACUCCAGCAUGCUGCUAGAGCCAGGUUGUUGUUCAAGUUAGCCUGGAAGCCACAGUGCCUACAAGCUUUUGAGCUCUUAAAAGAGAAGCUGACCAGCGCCCCCACGCUUGGCUACGCAGACUUUGAUUCCCCUUUUGUGCUAGAGACAGAUGCUAGCAUUCAAGGUCUAGGUGCAGUCCUGUACCAGGACCACGGCGGGAAGCGAAAAGUCAUCGCUUAUGCAAGCCGGAGGCUCAGAGGGGCUGAGAGGAAUGACCAAAAUUACAGCAGUAUGAAGUUGGAACUCCUUGCUCUAAAGUGGGCGGUCACUGAAAAGUUUAGGAGUUAUCUUCUAGGAUCCAAAUUCACCAUCAUCACCGAUAAUAACCCUCUGUGUCAUCUUUCUACUGCCAAUUUAGGGGCUAUUCAACAGCGGUGGGUUGGUCAGCUGGCUGUAUUCGAUUUUGAUGUGAAAUAUCGCCCUGGUAGGUGCAAUUCUGCGGCUGAUGCACUCUCCCGGAAACCAGCAGCCGAUGAGCCAGAACCUGAGAGUGAGGAGGCAGAGUAUGAUGGGAAUUUGCAGCUCUGCUACACAUAUAUGAAAGUUAUCCUCAAUGGCAGGUAUGAAAAAUUACUUGCGGGGAAGAAGUGGUCCGCCAGGAGAUGCGCCUCCUUAUGAUAUAAGAUGCUGCGCAUCUCUCUCCCCUUCUUUGGUGCGCGCGUCCUGAGCCCGGAUGUCAAGUUGUUGUUUUUUACCGUGGCUGUGUGUCAGGGUUGGUGAUGAAGAUGCGACCCCCGGUCGGCCUUCCGACCCCACUUUGGGAACCACUGGGCUUAGAGAUACACUCGCAAAAGUAAUGCGCCAUUCGGACGGGGAGGGGGGCUGUUAUAAUGGUUGAACUGAAUCUGUCAGGAGACUUUGACUUUCUCACUGAAGAUACCGAGGUCUAAAUGAACUGUACUGUUCAGAGGGAGCGCCAUCGGGAAAAAGGGGGAGCGUGUUUCUUGCUACAGGACUGCUUUGAAAUAAUGACGACGAAGAGAUGCUGCCCCAGUGCGUAGGGCGACCUUCUGUGAAAGUCCAUUUCUAUCACAUGUGUUUGAUAUCCAGAACGUUCGACAAAAGUUCUGGAGUGAGUAUGCAUCCUGUUAUUGUUAUUGUGGGUUCGAGGUGAUGAGCACUAAAUGACACUCUUUCAGUUGUGUGUUCACUUUAUUAAACUAUGUGCAUGCGCUCAAAAUUUGUUAUCUUUUUGUUUAGCAAACGUGUGCAAUAUACUUCCAGAAUUCUGUAUUCCAUCUGAUUUUUCUAUAUUCUAGUUAGUAAUAAAUACUUAAUCUCAAACGAGUUUAUGAUACUUUGGAUUUCUCACAAGGCCUUAAUCCACAAAUUUCCACCACAGUGCUUUUGCUAUUAAGUCAGUCCUUUUGCAUGCAGCUGGUCAGGUUUUCGGACGACGACGGAGACACGUCGGUGUGCACGGAACAAGUGUCAGGAUCCCGGGAGCAUCGUCUCUGUCUCGGGACCGUUGUAACAGGGCAGCAUGGAGAGAAGUUCGGACAAUUGGAAUUGGCUGCAGCAUAGUUGUUACUUACGUUGUUUCAAUUGAUUCCGUCUGAUUACUUUGAGUCUGCUUGUUCGAGGCUAUUUUAAUGUUUUUUUACUGACUUCUAACUUCUAACCUUCCACUCUUCAGUUUUUGCUACUGUUACGGCCAGCUUGUUUCGACCGUACAUAAAGAAAACAAGUACAAUGUAAUUACUUGCAAGAGUUUAAUUAUUCCUUCAGAAUAACGGUAACAAAACAAAGUCUAGGUUCAAAACAAAGGGACAAAUCAUAAGCCAAAUGGGGAGAGAAAAGAUUGGUAUGAGUUGGGUAACUAAACAAAGGUAGGCCAAAGUGACUUCUCCAGAGGCAGUCGCUCCCCCGGAGGAAAGGCUGUGGAGAGGGGAAAUCCAGAGUUUUAUCCUCUCCAUAAUUAAGAGGCAAUCAGGGAACAGGGGUGUGCAAUCUCCCACGCUCUCCCUGGAAGACACCGCCACCAGCAGAUUAAGGGCGGGGUCGUAACAAUCUCCAAAACUGAUUUGGGGGUGGUGUGCCUCUCCUGCAUUACCAUUGGCUCGGGCCGGGUCUGUACUUAAUGGUGAAAUGAAAGUCAGAAAGUUGAGCCGCCCACCGCUGCUCGAGGGCACCCAAUUUAGCCGUGGAUAGAUAACUUAAAGGGUUAUUGUCCGUAUACACCACACACUUCUGACCCAGGAGAUAUUCCCUGAAUUUCUCGGUCAUGGCCCACUUGAGCGCCAAGAACUCCAACUUCAUGGAACUGUAAUUUGUCAUAUUUCGUUCCGUUGGCUUCAAUCCUCUGCUGGCGUAGGCCACUGGUCUCACCUUACCAUUCUGUUCCUGCGAAAGCACUGCCCCAAGACCACUGUAGCUGGCAUCGACUUCCAGGAUGAAGGGCCGGGAGAAGUCAGCAUAAUUUAGCACUGGCGCAGAUACCAAUCUUGCUCUCAGAUCAUGGAAACUCCUCGCGCAUUUGUGCGGUGGCAACAUGACAUCAUUGAAAUACAUGACCCACAUGUUUGUCUUAAGUGUCCAAUAUAACUUUGUGUUACUAAUUUUCUAUGCAUUCUCACCCAGACUCUUCAAGAGAAGGCCCUUGUUUAUGCCGCUGUUGUCUUCUAGCUGUUCCUCAACGUAAUGCACCCGUCGGAGAACUGUCUGGACUAUCUGGAACCGGAACAAUGACUAACCUCGCCUCAUAAUGAGGCGGUGACCUCGUAUUU